UAGGGAAUCUUGCGCAAUGGGGGAAACCCUGACGCAGCGACGCCGCGUGCGGGAUGAAGGCCUUCGGGUCGUAAACCGCUUUCAGCAGGGACGAAAUUGACGGUACCUGCAGAAGAAGGCCCGGCCAACUACGUGCCCGCAGCCGCGGUGAUACGUAGGGGUCUAGCGUUGUCCGGAAUUAUUGGGCGUAAAGAGCUCGUAGGCGGUUCGGCAAGUCGGAUGUGAAAUCUCCACGCUUAACGUGGAGGGGCCAUUCGAAACUGCCGUGACUCGAGUCCGGUAGGGGAGUGCGGAAUUCCCGGUGUAGCGGUGAAAUGCGCAGAUAUCGGGAGGGACACCAGUGGCGAAGGCGGCACUCUGGGCCGGAACUGACGCUGAGGAGCGAAAGCGUGGGGAGCGAACAGGAUUAGAUACCCUGGUAGUCCACGCCGUAAACGUUGGGGCACUAGGUGUGGGGGCUCUAUCGACGGGUUCCGUGCCGUAGCUAACGCAUUAAGUGCCCCGCCCGGGGAGUACGGCCG
RNAcentral lists this ribosomal RNA (521 nucleotides) under uncultured Actinomycetes bacterium. Its description in RNAcentral is "bacterial SSU rRNA". It matches the Rfam family "Bacterial small subunit ribosomal RNA", at positions 355 to 888 of the family's 1533-position model. The record is from RNAcentral. Lineage: Bacteria; Bacillati; Actinomycetota; Actinomycetes.